RNAcentral lists this transfer RNA (75 nucleotides) under compost metagenome. RNAcentral describes it as "tRNA-Thr". It matches the Rfam family "tRNA". From Rfam's summary of the family: Transfer RNA (tRNA) molecules are approximately 80 nucleotides in length. The record is from RNAcentral.
GCCGUUAUAGCUCAGUGGUAGAGCGGCUGUUUUGUAAGCAGCGGGUCAAGGGUUCAAAUCCUUUUGGCGGCACCA